CAGCAGCCACGGUAAUACGUAGGGUGCGAGCGUUAAUCGGAAUUACUGGGCGUAAAGCGUGCGCAGGCGGUUGUGUAAGACAGGUGUGAAAUCCCCGGGCUUAACCUGGGAACUGCGCUUGUGACUGCACAGCUAGAGUAUGGCAGAGGGGGGUGGAAUUCCACGUGUAGCAGUGAAAUGCGUAGAGAUGUGGAGGAACACCGAUGGCGAAGGCAGCCCCCUGGGCCAAUACUGACGCUCAUGCACAAAAGCGUGGGGAGCAAACAGGAUUAGAUACCCGGGUAGUCCCUGUCUCUUAUAC
RNAcentral lists this ribosomal RNA (301 nucleotides) under uncultured bacterium. RNAcentral's name for it is "partial 16S ribosomal RNA". It matches the Rfam family "Bacterial small subunit ribosomal RNA", at positions 509 to 807 of the family's 1533-position model. The record is from RNAcentral.